CCUCCUUAUACGAUUUAGAACUUAUUUGUUCGUAGUGUCCACACAGAUGAUUGUUAGUUAGUUUGCUCUUUGAGUUUACUAAUUAAUAUGCUCUUUAAAAAUUUGGAAAAGCUGAUAAUAAAAUUCGUAUGAAUGACAUUUGUUAUUUGUACAGAGUUUUCAAAAGUAAAAAAGAAUGAUAGCAGUAUCAUUCUGUGCCAAUUUAAUCUUCGGAUUAAUUGGUAUCUACUUUAGUAUUCAAUAUUAACUUCUGGCGAAGUUAAACUGUCACAAAACAAAGACCCGUUUGGGUUGUAUGGUUAAGUGACUAAGCGUACACGGUGGAUGC
RNAcentral lists this unclassified non-coding RNA (328 nucleotides) under uncultured Pseudoalteromonas sp. Its description in RNAcentral is "partial 16S-23S ribosomal RNA intergenic spacer". Lineage: Bacteria; Pseudomonadati; Pseudomonadota; Gammaproteobacteria; Alteromonadales; Pseudoalteromonadaceae. The record is from RNAcentral.